This 573-nucleotide ribosomal RNA is filed under the name Penicillium sp. BAB-4702. Its description in RNAcentral is "eukaryotic LSU rRNA". The stretch from base 207 to 360 matches the Rfam family "5.8S ribosomal RNA". The record is from RNAcentral. Lineage: Eukaryota; Fungi; Ascomycota; Eurotiomycetes; Eurotiales; Aspergillaceae.
CUUCCGUAGGUGAACCUGCGGAAGGAUCAUUACUGAGUGAGGGCCCUCCGGGUCCAACCUCCCACCCGUGUUUAUUCGUACCUUGUUGCUUCGGCAGGCCCGCCUCACGGCCGCCGGGGGGCCUCCGCCCCCGGGCCCGCGCCUGCCGGAGACAAUCUGAACGCUGUCUGAAGAAUGCAGUCUGAGCGAUUAGCUAAAUUAGUUAAAACUUUCAACAACGGAUCUCUUGGUUCCGGCAUCGAUGAAGAACGCAGCGAAAUGCGAUAAUUAAUGUGAAUUGCAGAAUUCAGUGAAUCAUCGAGUCUUUGAACGCACAUUGCGCCCCCUGGUAUUCCGGGGGGCAUGCCUGUCCGAGCGUCAUUGCUGCCCUCAAGCACGGCUUGUGUGUUGGGCCUCCGUCCCCCCGGGGACGGGCCCGAAAGGCAGCGGCGGCACCGCGUCCGGUCCUCGAGCGUAUGGGGCUUUGUCACCCGCUCUGUAGGCCCGGCCGGCGCCUGCCGACACCCAUCAACCCUUCUUCAGGUUGACCUCGGAUCAGGUAGGGAUACCCGCUGAACUUAAGCAUAUCAAUAA